UACGGGGGGAGCAAGCGUUGUUCGGAUUUACUGGGCGUAAAGGGCGCGUAGGCGGCCAGCACAAGUCAGUUGUGAAAUCUCCGAGCUUAACUCGGAAAGGUCAACUGAUACUGUGCGGCUAGAGUGCAGAAGGGGCAACUGGAAUUCUUGGUGUAGCGGUGAGAUGCGUAGAUAUCAAGAGGAACACCUGCGGCGAAGGCGGGUUGCUGGGCUGACACUGACGCUGAAGCGCGAAAGCUAGGGGAGCGAACGGG
Molecule: ribosomal RNA, 254 nt
Filed under: uncultured bacterium
Lineage: Bacteria
Description: partial 16S ribosomal RNA
Rfam family: Bacterial small subunit ribosomal RNA
Source: RNAcentral